AUUGAACGCUGGCGGCAGGCCUAACACAUGCAAGUCGAGCGGAUGAAGGGAGCUUGCUCCUGGAUUCAGCGGCGGACGGGUGAGUAAUGCCUAGGAAUCUGCCUGGUAGUGGGGGAUAACGUCCGGAAACGGGCGCUAAUACCGCAUACGUCCUGAGGGAGAAAGUGGGGGAUCGUCGGACCUCACGCUAUCAGAUGAGCCUAGGUCGGAUUAGCUAGUUGGUGGGGUAAAGGCCUACCAAGGCGACUAUCCGUAACUGGUCUGAGAGGAUGAUCAGUCACACUGGAACUGAGACACGGUCCAGACUCCUACGGGAGGCAGCAGUGGGGAAUAUUGGACAAUGGGCGAAAGCCUGAUCCAGCCAUGCCGCGUGUGUGAAGAAGGUCUUCGGAUUGUAAAGCACUUUAAGUUGUGAGGAAGGGCAGUAAGUUAAUACCUUGCUGUUUUGACGUUACCAACAGAAUAAGCACCGGCUAACUUCGUG
This 484-nucleotide ribosomal RNA is filed under the name uncultured bacterium. RNAcentral's name for it is "partial 16S ribosomal RNA". It matches the Rfam family "Bacterial small subunit ribosomal RNA", at positions 30 to 507 of the family's 1533-position model. The record is from RNAcentral.